RNAcentral lists this unclassified non-coding RNA (225 nucleotides) under plant metagenome. Its description in RNAcentral is "partial contains small subunit ribosomal RNA, internal transcribed spacer 1, and 5.8S ribosomal RNA". The record is from RNAcentral.
GUCUCCGUUGGUGAACCAGCGGAGGGAUCAUUACAGGACUCGCAAGACUCCUUCACCCUGUGAACCUCACUACAAGCACGUUGCUUCGGCGGGUGUCCCGGCGGGGGUUUUCCCUCGCCGGGGCGCACAGCCCGCCGGCAGCCUACUAUACUCUGUCUCUUUGCGUUGGCAUCUCGAGAAAAAACAAACAAGUUAAAACUUUCAACAACGGAUCUCUUGGUUCUG